ACGGAGGAUGCGAGCGUUAUCCGGAUUUAUUGGGUUUAAAGGGUGCGUAGGCGGAUCAAUAAGUCAGUGGUGAAAUUCUGCAGCUUAACUGUAGACUUGCCAUUGAUACUGUUGGUCUUGAGUAUGGUCAAGGUAGGCGGAAUGUGUGAUGUAGCGGUGAAAUGCGUAGAUAUCAGGCGGAACACCGAUUGCGAAGGCGGCUUGCUGGGCCGAUACUGACGCUGAUGCACGAAAGCGUGGGGAUCGAACAG
This 251-nucleotide ribosomal RNA is filed under the name uncultured prokaryote. RNAcentral's name for it is "partial 16S rRNA". It matches the Rfam family "Bacterial small subunit ribosomal RNA", at positions 525 to 775 of the family's 1533-position model. The record is from RNAcentral.